This 210-nucleotide long non-coding RNA is filed under the name Elaeis guineensis (African oil palm). RNAcentral describes it as "long non-coding RNA (EGUI_LNC038602)". Lineage: Eukaryota; Viridiplantae; Streptophyta; Magnoliopsida; Arecales; Arecaceae. The record is from RNAcentral.
GUGUUUUGGCUAUUCGCAGCGAGGCUACUUAGUUUGACUGCACAUUCUCUUAGUUUUUAGCCAUUCGGAUCUUUACUAUGGGUUGCUCCUUGAAUUGAUUUUAAUGAUUAUAAAGUAUUUGAGGAGAUUACUAAUGAUUUUGGUUUGAAAAAAGAUUUAUUAUUUUUUAGAAAUAAAAUCAUAAUUUUAUCAAGUCCUAAUUCGAAAGCC